AUUGAACGCUGGCGGCAGGCCUAACACAUGCAAGUCGAACGGUAACAGAAAGCAGCUUGCUGCUUUGCUGACGAGUGGCGGACGGGUGAGUAAUGUCUGGGAAACUGCCUGAUGGAGGGGGAUAACUACUGGAAACGGUAGCUAAUACCGCAUAACGUCGCAAGACCAAAGAGGGGGACCUUCGGGCCUCUUGCCAUCGGAUGUGCCCAGAUGGGAUUAGCUAGUAGGUGGGGUAACGGCUCACCUAGGCGACGAUCCCUAGCUGGUCUGAGAGGAUGACCGGCCCACCUGAACUUGAGCCAGGGCCCAGACUCUAAGGGGAGCCACCGGUGGGAAAUAUGGACCAAUGGGCGAAACCUUGAGGAAGCCAGGCGCGGGGAAUGAAGAAGGCCUUCGGGUGGUAAAUUCUUUUCAGCGGGAAGAAGGGAGGUAAGGUUAAACCCUUGCUCAUUGACGUUACCCGCAGAAGAAGCACCGGCUAACUCCGUG
This 489-nucleotide ribosomal RNA is filed under the name uncultured bacterium. RNAcentral describes it as "partial 16S ribosomal RNA". It matches the Rfam family "Bacterial small subunit ribosomal RNA", at positions 30 to 507 of the family's 1533-position model. The record is from RNAcentral.